This 87-nucleotide small nucleolar RNA is filed under the name Corchorus capsularis. RNAcentral describes it as "snoRNA snoU83". It matches the Rfam family "Small nucleolar RNA U83". Lineage: Eukaryota; Viridiplantae; Streptophyta; Magnoliopsida; Malvales; Malvaceae. The record is from Rfam by way of RNAcentral.
UGCUGAUGAUGAAGAAUAUGGUAUUAAUGUGAUUUAUGAAUUUAUCGGUGAUUACAUAAAUACCUCUACUGCCUUCCUUCUGAGGCA